Molecule: long non-coding RNA, 230 nt
Organism: Fundulus heteroclitus (mummichog)
Lineage: Eukaryota; Metazoa; Chordata; Actinopteri; Cyprinodontiformes; Fundulidae
Exons: 3
Source: RefSeq, a predicted model, not a curated record
GGGAGCAAUGUGUCUUCUCCAGCAGCAGCACACCCGGAACCUUCUUAAGGCAGUCGUUUCAGCCCCGGCCUCUUUUAGGGGACGGACCUGGACACAAGGACAAGGGCCCAACCACUCUACUUUAAAGUGCUGCAGUGCCACUGGAUCUAAAACCAGGAAAAAGGAAAUGCCUUCAAUAAACAUUUAUACAAAUAACUGUGUGCAAUUAUUUCUUAAAUGUGCAAAUAUGC